CCUACGGGAGGCAGCAGUGGGGAAUAUUGGGCAAUGGGCGCAAGCCUGACCCAGCAACGCCGCGUGAAGGAAGACGGCUUUCGGGUUGUAAACUUCUUUUCUCAGGGACGAAACAAGUGACGGUACCUGAGGAAUAAGCCACGGCUAACUACGUGCCAGCAGCCGCGGGAAUACGUAGGUGGGAAGCGUUAUCCGGAUUUACUGGGUUUAAAGGGCGUGUAGGCGGGAAAGCAAGUCAGAUGUGAAAACCAUGGGCUCAAACUGUGGCCUGCAUUUGAAACUGUUUUUCUUGAGUACUGGAGAGGUAGACGGAAUUCGUAGUGUAGCGGUGAAAUGCGUAGAUAUUAGGAGGAACACCAGUGGCGAAGGCGGUAUGCUGGACAGCAACUGACGCUGAGGCGCGAAAGCGUGGGGAGCAAACAGGAUUAGAUACCCUAGUAGUC
RNAcentral lists this ribosomal RNA (443 nucleotides) under uncultured bacterium. Its description in RNAcentral is "partial 16S ribosomal RNA". It matches the Rfam family "Bacterial small subunit ribosomal RNA", at positions 338 to 795 of the family's 1533-position model. The record is from RNAcentral.